UGGCCAAUGCCAGGUGCCCCAGAGGGAGUGAACCUAACAGACUAUAAGUUCCACAUGAGACAAGUUCAGAGGGUCAGUACUACUUAAGACUCAUCAGUUUCACCCCGAAGACCAGGCAUAAAAGAAUGCAAUUCUGAAUAAACACAGAAUGUUGAACAAUAA
This is a long non-coding RNA of Trachemys scripta elegans, 162 nucleotides long. RefSeq lists it as uncharacterized. The record is from RefSeq and is a predicted model, not a curated record. Lineage: Eukaryota; Metazoa; Chordata; Testudines; Emydidae. The transcript has 2 exons.